This 480-nucleotide ribosomal RNA is filed under the name uncultured bacterium. Its description in RNAcentral is "partial 16S ribosomal RNA". It matches the Rfam family "Bacterial small subunit ribosomal RNA", at positions 28 to 507 of the family's 1533-position model. The record is from RNAcentral.
GACGAACGCUGGCGGCGUGCUUAACACAUGCAAGUCGAACGAUGAAGAAAAGAAUCGAAGCUUCGGCAGAAAUUCAUUUCGGAUUAGUGGCAGACGGGUGAGUAACGCGUGAGCAACCUACCUCUUACAAAGGGAUAGCCUCGGGAAACCGGGAUUAAUACCAUAUAACAUUGUGACGAAGCAUUUCGAUGCAAUCAAAGCUACGGCGGUAAGAGAUGGGCUCGCGUCCCAUUAACCGGAUGGUGAGGUAACGGCUCACCAUAGUGACGAUGGGUAACCGGCCUGAGAGGGUGAACGGUCACACUGGAACUGAGACACGGUCCAGACUCCUACGGGAGGCAGCAGUGGGGAAUAUUGCACAAUGGAGGGAACUCUGAUGCAGCGACGCCGCGUGAGUGAUAAAGGAAUUCGUUUCGUAAAACUCUGUUCUAUGGGAAGAAAAGGACUGUACCAUAGGAGAAAGCGCCGGCUAAAUACGUG